CAGCCAGGAGCCAAGCCCAGUGGGUUUGCGCCGUGGCCGUGUCACGCCCAACCUUUCCCGAGCCAGCAGCGACGCAGACCAUGGGGCAGAGGAGGACAAGGAGGAGCAGGUAGACAGCCAGCCAGACGCCUCCUCCAGCCAGACAGUGACCCCGGUGGCUGAACCCCCGAGCACAGAGCCCACCCAGCCUGACGGGCCCACCACCCUGGGCCCCUUGGAUCUGCUGCCCAGUGAGGAGCUAUUGACAGACACAAGUAACUCCUCUUCAUCCACUGGGGAGGAAGGUGAGGCAGGCGGGCCCAAUUCAUUCGCCUCCGGUACUUGCAAGCCUCGCUCAGUCUUAAGCAAGAGGGGAUGGAUUCGCCCGCAGCACUGAGAAUCCAGGGGCAGGCGGGAUGGUGUUCAGGCGCUGUUGCUAGAAAUCUCUGUCUUUACUCUGUUUUGAAGGCAGCAUGGCAGGGUGAACACGAGCACAGACUGAAGGCAGCUUGCCGCGGUUCACAUCCUGGUCACACCACUUCCUGACCAUGUCACGUGGGCAAAUUAUGUAACUUCUCUGAGCUUGCUUUCCUCCUCUGAAAAUGGGGUUAACAAUGAUAAUACCCACUUCAUAGGAUUGUUGUUAAGAGACUAUAAAUGAGGCCGGGUGUGAUGGCUCACACCUGUAAUCCCAGCACUUUGGGAGGCCAAGGUAGGAAGGAUUGCUAGAGGCCAAGAGUUGGAGAACAGCCUGGGCAGCAAAGCAAGACCCCGUUUUGUACAAAAAAGAAAAAAAA
Molecule: small RNA, 776 nt
Filed under: Pan troglodytes (chimpanzee)
Lineage: Eukaryota; Metazoa; Chordata; Mammalia; Primates; Hominidae
Description: retained intron
Source: RNAcentral